CCUACGGGUGGCAGCAGUGGGGAAUAUUGGGCAAUGGAGGCAACUCUUACCCAGCAAUGCCGCGUGAAUGAAGAAGGUCUUCGGAUUGUAAAGUUCGUUAAGUGGGGACGAAAGAAAUGACGGUAACCAAGGAAUAAGCCCAGGCUAACGACGGGCCAGCAGCAGCGGUAAUACGUAGGGGGCAAGCGUUGGUCGGAAUGACGGGGCGUAACGGGUGUGUAGGCGGUGUAGCAAGUUAGAAGUGAAAUACCUAGAGCUUAACUCAGGUGCUGCUUCUAAAACUGCUAUACUUGAGUGCAGUCGAGGCAAGUGGAAUUCCUAUUGUAGCGGUUGAAUGCGUAGAUAUUAGGAGGAACAUCAGUGGCGAAGGCGACUUUCUGGACUGUAACUGACGCUGAGGCACGAAAGUGUGGGGAGCAAACAGGAUUAGAUACCCCAGUAGUC
This 444-nucleotide ribosomal RNA is filed under the name uncultured bacterium. Its description in RNAcentral is "partial 16S ribosomal RNA". It matches the Rfam family "Bacterial small subunit ribosomal RNA", at positions 338 to 795 of the family's 1533-position model. The record is from RNAcentral.